Molecule: small nuclear RNA, 107 nt
Filed under: Balaenoptera musculus (blue whale)
Lineage: Eukaryota; Metazoa; Chordata; Mammalia; Artiodactyla; Balaenopteridae
Source: RNAcentral
GUGCUCGCUUCGGCAGCACAUAUACUAAAAUUGGAACGAUACAGAGAAGAUUAGCAUGGGCCCUGCGCAAGGAUGACACACAAAUUCGUGAAAUGUUCCAUAUUUUU